Molecule: transfer RNA, 71 nt
Filed under: Cephalcia infumata
Lineage: Eukaryota; Metazoa; Arthropoda; Insecta; Hymenoptera; Pamphiliidae
Description: tRNA-Thr
Source: RNAcentral
GUUUUAAUAAUUUAAAUAUUAAAAAUAUUGAUUUUGUAAAUCAAAUAUAAGAUUUUUUUUCUUUUAAAACU